Molecule: ribosomal RNA, 481 nt
Filed under: uncultured bacterium
Lineage: Bacteria
Description: bacterial SSU rRNA
Rfam family: Bacterial small subunit ribosomal RNA
Source: RNAcentral
AUCGUAACUCCUACGGGAGGCAGCAGUGGGGAAUUUUGGACAAUGGGGGCAACCCUGAUCCAGCAAUGCCGCGUGAGUGAAGAAGGCCUUCGGGUUGUAAAGCUCUUUUGUCAGGGAAGAAACGGUAGUAGCUAAUAUCUAUUACUAAUGACGGUACCUGAAGAAUAAGCACCGGCUAACUACGUGCCAGCAGCCGCGGUAAUACGUAGGGUGCAAGCGUUAAUCGGAAUUACUGGGUGUAAAGCGGGCGCAGGCGGUUGUGUAAGUCAGAUGUGAAAUCCCCGGGCUCAACCUGGGAAUUGCAUUUGAGACUGCACGGCUAGAGUGUAUCAGAGGGGGGUAGAAUUCCGCGUGUAGCAGUGAAACGCGUAGAUAUGUGGAGGAAUACCGAUGGCGAAGGCAGCCCCCUGGGAUAACACUGACGCUCAUGCACGAAAGCGUGGUGAUCAAACAGGAGUAGAAACCCGUGUAGUCCUAGAGC